UCAUGGAUAAAACACCUACAAAUCUUACUAGAAUUUGUGUAUCAGUUUGUAUACCACUAUUAUGUUAUAUUUAAUUAUUUAUUACUUAAAACUUUUUGGAAAAAA
This 105-nucleotide ribosomal RNA is filed under the name Amblyomma sp. MTHATHA. Its description in RNAcentral is "partial 12S ribosomal RNA". The record is from RNAcentral. Lineage: Eukaryota; Metazoa; Arthropoda; Arachnida; Ixodida; Ixodidae.